GGGAAAAGCCCAGCGCUGAAUCCUUCAGCCACUGGCUGCUAGGAAUUGUAGCGUAUAGGUGCGACUGUCCGUUCGUUUCGUGCACCCAAAGUCCCCUUGAGCGGGGCUAUAGUCCAAAGAAGGUGCUAGACCUGUACGGGUGGCGAAGCGAACGGUUGGUUGCUCCUUGGAGUCGGGUUGCCUGGGAUCGCAGCCCAAAGUUGGUGGUAGACCUCAUCUAAGGCUAAAUAUGGCCACGAAACCGAUAGCAAACAAGUACCGUGAGGGAAAGUUGCAAAGAACUUUGAAGAGAGAGUUCAAGAGGGCGUGAAACCGUUGAGAUUGAAACGGAUAGAGUUAACGAAACUCGGCUGCAUUCAUCCGAUCGGCCUAAUGGAUCAAUAGCGUUCGCAUCCUCGAUGAGGGCAACGUUAUCGUUAACUAUUGGGUAAUUGAUCGGUGUAUUUGCGGCUGGUAUGCGCUGAGAGUUUUGUGAUCGCAUGUUAACGGGUGUGCAGUGGACCAUUCCUUCCGGGUGUGGAAACCUUCACAUCUUUAGGCAUGUCGAUUAUAAAGUUUUGAACGUGGCGUCUCCGCUAUUGUGCGUCGACUUAUGCGUACUAUUGUGAUUAUUGAAUAUUCGCAUGCGAAUAUUUGUAGUUAACGAUAUUGCGACAAAAGUGCGGACGCGUUGAGACGUGUAUCUCGGUGUGAACGUUGACCACCUAUCCGACCCGUCUUGAAACACGGACCAAGGAGUCUAGCAUAUGCGCGAGUCAUUGGGUGGUAAACCUAAGGGCGUAAUGAAAGUAAAAGUCACCUCGAUGUGGCCGAUAUGGGAUCCGGAUAACUUACGAGCCAUUCGGCGCACCAUAGCCCCGUCCCCAUUGCUUGCAAUAGGGCGGAGGUAGAGCGCAUAUGCUGGGACCCGAAAGAUGGUGAACUAUGCCUGAGCAGGAUGAAGCCAGAGGAAACUCUGGUGGAAGUCCGAAGCGGUUCUGACGUGCAAAUCGAUCGUCUGACUUGGGUAUAGGGGCGAAAGACUAAUCGA
Molecule: ribosomal RNA, 1030 nt
Filed under: Ascaris suum (pig roundworm)
Lineage: Eukaryota; Metazoa; Nematoda; Chromadorea; Rhabditida; Ascarididae
Description: LSU rRNA
Rfam family: Eukaryotic large subunit ribosomal RNA
Source: RNAcentral